Molecule: long non-coding RNA, 561 nt
Organism: Aethina tumida (small hive beetle)
Lineage: Eukaryota; Metazoa; Arthropoda; Insecta; Coleoptera; Nitidulidae
Exons: 3
Source: RefSeq, a predicted model, not a curated record
AUUGUAAUGGUUAUGUAGUAUAUUUAGUAAUUGAGAACAUUAAUCAGUAACAAAAUAUUCUUCAAAUCAGGGGGGGCAACUCAGAUGAGGCAGGUGAAGCAGUACUGGAGGAAUCUGAGAGUCAUAAGGGAGGACGAAGGUUUUGACAGCAGCAUAUUCGGAUUAUAAAGAGGAAAUUUCUUCAGCAUUAAGUACUUUGUAGUACCCUAAAUCCUUUUCGGGACCGCCUUCGCCGAGCAACAGUAAAUCCACCCCAUUCGGUUGUUUGCACGGGUCCGACAAUGAGAACGAUUCCAUCUAUUUCGAAGAAGUGGAGGAGCUGAGGGGAAAAUAAAACAACAGCGAAACCAUGAGAUUGCCAUCAGAUUAGAACGUCUUUUAUACUUUGUGUUUCUUCCAUUAUUAUUUUACAUUUGAUAGAGUAGAACUGAUGUACAAAUUUGUUGAUCUCAUAUGUUAUCACAAUAUUGUCAACAAUCACAUUAUUUUAUGUAUAUUCUAAAAUAUUAAUCAUAUGUAUUAUAUUGUAAUCCUGAAAUUUCAUAUUUUGUUAAAAGAUAG